Molecule: ribosomal RNA, 421 nt
Filed under: uncultured bacterium
Lineage: Bacteria
Description: bacterial SSU rRNA
Rfam family: Bacterial small subunit ribosomal RNA
Source: RNAcentral
UCAGCAGCCGCGGUAAGACGGGGGGGGCAAGCGUUGUCCGGAAUUACUGGGCGUAAAGCGCACGUAGGCGGUCAGCUACGGCGGUGGUGAAAGCUCCCGGCUCAACUGGGAGAGGCCCGCCGCAACGGGUUGACUCGAGGGUGGUAGAGGUUGGUGGAAUUCCUGGUGUAGCGGUGAAAUGCGUAGAGAUCAGGAGGAACACCCGUGGCGAAGGCGGCCAACUGGGCCACGCCUGACGCUGAGGUGCGACAGCCAGGGGAGUGAACGGGAUUAGAUACCCCGGUAAUCCUGGCCGUAAACGAUGCAGACUAGGUGUCCGCGGUCUCGACCCCGCGGGUGCCGGAGCUAACGCGUGAAGUCUGCCGCCUGGGGAGUACGGCCGCAAGGUUGAAACUCAAAGGAAUUGACGGGGGCCCGCACA